UUCGUAGGGGGCAAGCGUUGUCCGGAAUCAUUGGGCGUAAAGCGCGUGUAGGCGGCCCGGUAAGUCCGCUGUGAAAGUCGGGGGCUCAACCCUCGAAUGCCGGUGGAUACUGUCGGGCUAGAGUGCGGGAGAGGCGAGUGGAAUUCCUGGUGUAGCGGUGAAAUGCGCAGAUAUCAGGAGGAACACCAAUUGCGAAGGCAGCUCGCUGGAACGUAACUGACGCUGAGACGCGAAAGCGUGGGGAGCAAACAGG
This 253-nucleotide ribosomal RNA is filed under the name uncultured bacterium. RNAcentral describes it as "partial 16S ribosomal RNA". It matches the Rfam family "Bacterial small subunit ribosomal RNA", at positions 524 to 776 of the family's 1533-position model. The record is from RNAcentral.